RNAcentral lists this ribosomal RNA (445 nucleotides) under uncultured bacterium. Its description in RNAcentral is "bacterial SSU rRNA". It matches the Rfam family "Bacterial small subunit ribosomal RNA", at positions 354 to 796 of the family's 1533-position model. The record is from RNAcentral.
GUGAGGAAUAUUGGUCAAUGGGCGCAAGCCUGAACCAGCCAUCCCGCGUGCAGGAAGAAGGCGCUAUGCGUCGUAAACUGCUUUUCCGGAGGAAGAAAACCCCUGACGUGUCGGGGCUUGCCGGUACUCUGGGAAUAAGCAUCGGCUAACUCCGUGCCAGCAGCCGCGGUAAUACGGAGGAUGCGAGCGUUAUCCGGAUUUAUUGGGUUUAAAGGGUGCGUAGGCGGAUUAAUAAGUCAGUGGUGAAAACCUUCAGCUUAACUGGAGACUUGCCAUUGAUACUGUUAUUCUUGAGUACGGUCAAGGUAGGCGGAAUGUGUAAUGUAGCGGUGAAAUGCUUAGAUAUUACACAGAACACCGAUUGCGAAGGCAGCUUACUGGGCCAUUACUGACGCUGAUGCACGAAAGCGUGGGGAGCGAACAGGAUUAGAAACCCCAGUAGUCC